ACUUGGCUGGCUCAGUCGGUGAAGCGUCUGACUUCAGCUCAGGUCAUGAUCUCACGGUUCGUGGGUUCGAGCCCCAUGUCAGGCU
This 85-nucleotide transfer RNA is filed under the name Felis catus (domestic cat). It matches the Rfam family "tRNA". From Rfam's summary of the family: Transfer RNA (tRNA) molecules are approximately 80 nucleotides in length. Their secondary structure includes four short double-helical elements and three loops (D, anti-codon, and T loops). Further hydrogen bonds mediate the characteristic L-shaped molecular structure. tRNAs have two regions of fundamental functional importance: the anti-codon, which is responsible for specific mRNA codon recognition, and the 3' end, to which the tRNAs corresponding amino acid is attached (by aminoacyl-tRNA synthetases). tRNAs cope with the degeneracy of the genetic code in two manners: having more than one tRNA (with a specific anti-codon) for a particular amino acid; and 'wobble' base-pairing, i.e. permitting non-standard base-pairing at the 3rd anti-codon position. The record is from Rfam by way of RNAcentral. Lineage: Eukaryota; Metazoa; Chordata; Mammalia; Carnivora; Felidae. RNAcentral also lists the same sequence under 2 other names.